RNAcentral lists this non-coding RNA (90 nucleotides) under Bordetella genomosp. 1. RNAcentral describes it as "Bordetella genomosp. Glycine sequence". It matches the Rfam family "Glycine riboswitch aptamer". Rfam says of the family: This family represents the bacterial glycine riboswitch. Lineage: Bacteria; Pseudomonadati; Pseudomonadota; Betaproteobacteria; Burkholderiales; Alcaligenaceae. The record is from RNAcentral.
GAUCGUGGCACGGAAGAGAUCGGUCAUCACGACGACGCCGACGGAGCAACCGCCCCGGAAACUCUCAGGCAAAAGGACCGUGCGACGGGG